Molecule: ribosomal RNA, 253 nt
Filed under: uncultured bacterium
Lineage: Bacteria
Description: partial 16S ribosomal RNA
Rfam family: Bacterial small subunit ribosomal RNA
Source: RNAcentral
UACGUAGGGUGCAAGCGUUGUCCGGAAUUAUUGGGCGUAAAGAGCUCGUAGGCGGUCUGUCACGUCGGGCGUGAAAAUCCAGGGCUUAACCCUGGACCUGCGUUCGAUACGGGCAGACUAGAGUUCGGUAGGGGAGACUGGAAUUCCUGGUGUAGCGGUGAAAUGCGCAGAUAUCAGGAGGAACACCGGUGGCGAAGGCGGGUCUCUGGGCCGACACUGACGCUGAGGCGCGAAAGCUAGGGUAGCAAACGGG